AGAGUUUGAUUCUGCUCAGGAUGAACGCUGGCGCGUGCUUAACACAUGCAAGUCGAACGAGGUCCAACCUUCGGUGAAGACCAAGUGGCGAACGGGUGAGUACACGUGGGAACUGCCCUUCUCUCUGGGAUAACCUCGGGAAACCGAAGCUAAUACCGGAUACUCCUUGCGGACCGCAUGGUCUGCUCGGGAAAGCUCCGGCGGAGAAGGAUGGCCCCGCGGCCCAUUAGCUUGUUGGUGGGGUAACGGCCCACCAAGGCGACGAUGGGUAGCCGAGCUGAGAGGCUGAUCGGCCACACUGGGACUGAGACACGGCCCAGACUCCUACGGGAGGCAGCAGUGGGGAAUCUUGCGCAAUGGGCGAAAGCCUGACGCAGCAACGCCGCGUGCGGGAUGAAGGCUCUCGGGUCGUAAACCGCUUUCAGCAGGGAUGAAAAUGACAGUACCUGCAGAAGGAGCCCCGGCUAAAUACGUGCCAGCGGCCGCGGUAAUACGUAUGGGGCAAGCGUUAUCCGGAUUCAUUGGGCGUAAAGCGCGCGUAGGCGGCUUGUUAAGUCAGGCGUGAAAUCCGGGGGCUCAACCCGCGGCUUGCGUCUGAAACUGGCAGGCUUGAGUCUGGUAGAGGAAAGUGGAAUUCCUGGUGUAGCGGUGAAUGCGCAGAUAUCAGGAGGAACACCAGUGGCGAAGGCGGCUUUCUGGGCCACGACUGACGCUGAGGCGCGAAAGCUAGGGGAGCGAACAGGAUUAGAUACCCUGGUAGUC
This 762-nucleotide ribosomal RNA is filed under the name uncultured Actinomycetes bacterium. RNAcentral's name for it is "bacterial SSU rRNA". It matches the Rfam family "Bacterial small subunit ribosomal RNA", at positions 8 to 795 of the family's 1533-position model. The record is from RNAcentral. Lineage: Bacteria; Bacillati; Actinomycetota; Actinomycetes.